RNAcentral lists this unclassified non-coding RNA (439 nucleotides) under Hevea brasiliensis (rubber tree). Lineage: Eukaryota; Viridiplantae; Streptophyta; Magnoliopsida; Malpighiales; Euphorbiaceae. The record is from RNAcentral.
GGGAUUGGUUUAUCAAUCUUAGUGCCUCUGAUUAUCCUCUUAUAACUCAAGAUGAUCUUCUUGAUACAUUUUCAACCAUAAACCGAAAUCUGAACUUUAUUGAGCACACUAGUCAGUUGGGUUGGAAGGAGGAUAAACGAGCAAUGCCUUUGAUUAUAGAUCCUGGGCUCUACUCAACAACAAAGACGGAUGUAUACUGGGCCACACCACGUAGAGGUUUGCCAACAGCAUUCAAAUUAUUCACUGGUUCGGCAUGGAUGGUUCUCACACGCCCAUUCGUAGAGUACUUAAUUUGGGGUUGGGAUAAUCUACCAAGAAUCUUACUCAUGUACUAUACGAACUUCGUCUCCUCUCCUGAAGGCUAUUUUCACACUGUAAUAUGCAAUGUGCCAGAGUUUGCUCAGACGGCUGUCAAUCAUGAUUUGCACUACAUUUCUUG